RNAcentral lists this transfer RNA (72 nucleotides) under Crypturellus soui. Its description in RNAcentral is "tRNA-Val". Lineage: Eukaryota; Metazoa; Chordata; Aves; Tinamiformes; Tinamidae. The record is from RNAcentral.
CAGGACGUAGCUACAAACUACAAAGCAUUCAGCUUACACCUGAAAGAUGUUCCUCAACGGGGACCGACCUGA